This 466-nucleotide ribosomal RNA is filed under the name uncultured bacterium. RNAcentral describes it as "bacterial SSU rRNA". It matches the Rfam family "Bacterial small subunit ribosomal RNA", at positions 27 to 507 of the family's 1533-position model. The record is from RNAcentral.
GGACGAACGCUGGCGGCGCGCCUAACACAUGCAAGUCGAACGAGCGAGAGAGAGUUACUUUUUCGAGCGAGUGGCGAACGGGUGAGUAACGCGUGAGGAACCUGCCUCAAAGAGGGGGACAACAGUUGGAAACGACUGCUAAUACCGCAUAAGCCCACGGCUCGGCAUCGAGCAGAGGGAAAAGGAGCAAUCCGCUUUGAGAUGGCCUCGCGUCCGAUUAGCUAGUUGGUGAGGUAAUGGCCCACCAAGGCGACGAUCGGUAGCCGGACUGAGAGGUUGAACGGCCACAUUGGGACUGAGACACGGCCCAGACUCCUACGGGAGGCAGCAGUGGGGAAUAUUGCACAAUGGGGGAAACCCUGAUGCAGCGACGCCGCGUGGAGGAAGAAGGUCCUCGGAUUGUAAACUCCUGUUGUUGAGGAAGAUAAUGACGGUACUCAACAAGGAAGUGACGGCUAACUACGUG